ACAAAAAUUGCCAAAAUUUUUGGCCUGCGAAAUUUGUGUGUAUAUGUGUGCGGUAAGACAAAAUGCUGCCUCUUCUAGAUUACCACAGAGUAUUUGCAUGUACACCAAUCAGACAUAACAUCACGACCACCUGCCUAAUACUGUGCUGCUAACACUCCUCUGACCCAGUGGUUCAUGGACUCAGGACCUCUGGGGAUGUCCUGUGGCACCGGGAUGGUGGCAGUGAAUUCUGUAGGUCCUGUGGGUUGCAGAGUGGGACCUACCUAGAUCAGGGGCCUAUUUUACGAAGCAGGUUUAGGGAAAACUCUGAGUUUGUUAACCCUGAAAUGAGGGAAACUCAGAGUUUUCUGUUUCACGAAGCAAGGUAACUCUAACCAGGGAAUGCGGGGUAACUCUAGCCUGUUUCACAAAGAGGGGUAACUUCAACUCUCAGUCAGUUACCGCAGUAACAGACUCUAUGACUCUAACCUGCUCGCCAGCAGGUUUAUCUGAGAAAACCUCGAGUUUCUCUCCGUCUCCACCCACUUUCAGCCACACACGCUGUUUCAUUUCCUCAUUCAUUCAGUCAGUAAGCGAGCGAGUUUUGGCGUAGAACAGGUUUUAUUAACGAUCCAGUGGAUAAAGGAGCAGCGUUACUGCACAGAUAGUUAAAUAUUCGUCGGUAGAUUGUUAUCAGACCGAGCAUAAAUGUUCUCGCAUUUCCGGACAAUUAUCGGUUUGAGCGGUACCGUUUCGUAAUCGUUUCAAGUCCAUAAUCUACAUAAACAACCUAAUCCGUCCUUACAUUUACAUUACCAGCCGCAGUCAUGCUCUCACAUCCAGCAGAUAUUUUGUGUGUUGCGCUGUGGUUCUUUGCAAGUGGAAGUUUUUAUAUGAUGUCAGAGAUGCAGAGUAAGACAACUGUAUGCAGGACAGUCAGAAAAGAUUUCCUGGCUCUGAAACGACUUUUACUCGUCAUUGUGGUUUUUCCUGGACAUAAACCUGUCAAAGCAUCAAGGAGGAUCCAUGGGAUUGCAGGUGAAUGAUGUAGAGAUCUUUUAAAUUCAUUUUAAAUCAUAUUCUGUUAAUGACAUUGUGCUGCAGCCUCAGACUGGGAUUAGUCAUUUUAAUUUCUUUUAGGAUUUCCCAGUGUGAUUGGCUGCAUAGAUGCACACACAUCCCCAUCACAGCUCCCUCACAUCAUGAACAGGAAGUCCAUUCACAGCAUAAAUGUGCAGAUCAAAUGUGAUGCUGCAUACAUCAUUUCUAAUGUGGAGGCCACGUGGUCUGGGUCUGUUCAUGACUCCAGGAUUUAUGGAGAGUCUAACCUGAGCAACAGACUGCAGCGUGGAGAGUUUGAUGGCCUUCUGCUGGGUGACAGGAGUUACCAUAACAACCCAGGCUGAUGACCUCAUACCCUGACCCUGAACCAGGCCCCCAACAGAACGUCAACCGGACUCACUGCAGGACCAGAGCCCGGGUGGAGAUGACCAUAGGCCUGCUGAAAGCCCGUUUCCAGAGCCUACGUCUCCUCAGGGUGACCCCUGAGAGGGCCUGUGAUAUUACUGUGGCAUGUGUUGUUCUUCAUAAUAUUACCACUAUUAGAGGAGAGAAACACCCUGCCCUAAAAACUGAAGACCCAGAUGAUGAGCCCAUCCACCUGCAGCUAUCCAGGACAGCAGAGCAGUCAGAGACACCGUAUGCAAUAAUCACUUUAGAGUUUAAGUCACCAUCAUCACCACCACAGCAAAUAAAGACAUGAUACACAUUUCAUUUGCUCUUCUUUAUUCCCUACAAAUAAAAGAGAUAGUUCAGUUCAUGUUCCAGUAGUUAACAUAAUUCACCUGUGACCAUCACCACCUCUAACUUCUGUUAUCUCAAAGUCCAGAUCUGCCCUCCUAAUCUGUUUUUUGGAUUUUUCUCAGCAAAUGCAGUUUGUAAAUCUGUUUUACUGAUAACUGGGAAUACAUAGAGGACAUUAAAUUAUACAGUUGCACAUGAAUUCCACAGAAUGAAGCUCUGGUGUUUCCUGAACAUCCAUCUCACUGUGUCAGUCUGUGCAGUGGAAGUUGAGGAACCAUCCUGCUGCUGUCCAGCCAUGUUCUGUUAAAAGGAUGAGAAUGUGCAACACUUCAGUGUAGGCUAAAUGUCACACUCUAUAUUCCAGAGUUCAUUUGCAAAAACAGAUAACUCCGUUUUGGUAAAUUUUCAGAAAACUUUUUUUUAUUGUUUACUUGAGAUAAUAUCAAUCAAACUGAAGUUGAGUGGAUUUGACUCAGUCGAAAAAUGCAUGACAAAAUAGAGAUAAAUAAAUUAUUAGUGUUAUUAUUAUUAUUAUCUCAAGUAAACAAUAAAAAAAAUAGUUUUCCCUGUUUUUGCAAAUGAACUCUUCAUGUGUUCCAGCUACAGCUCAGACAAGACUGGUGCCACUUCAAAGUCAUUUAAGAACCUGCAGUUAAGCUGCAUUCAGCAGUUUUGACCAUGAGAUAGAUUUGAAAACACUCGCAGUAACGAGCUUUAAUGUACUGAAGGAUUACUGAGUUGUUGUUAGGUCCAGUGUCUUACUGCUAAGUUUCCAUUAUGCACAUUCAGCAUAAAGUACUGACAAAAGAAGACAAAAGCUGUCUUUUGUCAAAAAGGGGUAUGAACUAUUUUUAACAUUACAGUGUUGCCAUUGAUGUCCUCGUCUUGUUUGUCAUUUGUUUAUGUUGCUUUUGUCAGCCAUAAGAAAAAUAUUGAUGAGAUUUGAAAAUAAAAUCACGAGAAAUCAAAAUUUGGUAUAUGGUCAGCAUUAAUAGUCUACUCUAUAACCUUAAGUCUGAACACCCCUUCAGAAUUGUAUCCAAAAUUGCUUUCUCUCAUCCUAGAAAUAUGGCAGAGUUGAGGCCAUUUCUCACUCCGGUGAACAUUGAAAAUGUAAUGCAUGCUUUUAUCACCAGCAGGCUACCUACCUCCUCUUUAAAGACUGUAAAAAAACAAAACAAAACUGUGAGCUUGUUCUAAAGGCUGCUCUGACAGUUUAAACACUGACAAAAAGGUGAAUAAUGCCUCUUUGAAAUAGAGAUAAAUAAAGUAAAUCUCUUGGUUGUUACCAUGUCACCAAUCUGAUUGUUCUUCUGUACUUAAAUCAACCCAAAACAUCUUACUGGAGGGGGUUUUAGGAUAUGCCUCACACAUAAACAAAAUGUCAGGCUCUCUAAUUACUUUCUGUUAUCCAAAAUACAGACUACACCAUGAAAGUAUUCAUUUAAAUGAUUAUUUGUGGUCCUGUUUUAAUUGCUUUUAACUCAUUCCGAUUUUUAAAUUUGAUUGUUAACCACGCCUGACGUACGUCAGCGGGGUUACUGCAUUCGCUUCGGUAUCUGUCUGGGUAAGUAUGUAUGCGGGUGGGUAUGUCCGGUCAGAUAUCUCUGCAAGUGCUGAAGUCAGGAUAAUCAAACUUGGCACUGAAGAUCAGUCUAAGGUCCCCUGCUCAGUUGUGGAGUUAGAGGUCAGCAGAUCAAGUAGGAAGGGAUAUACGUAGGAUGAUCAAAAUUGAUACAGAGUAUCAUGCAUGGGCGUGGUUCUGCCAUGUACUUAUGGCUUGUCUAAUUAAGACUGCUUUUAUAUAUAUAUAUUACACAUUUAUUUAAAACCACAGUGUUACUCUAAAAUGCAUUAGAAAUUAAAGGCAUUAUUAUUUAUUUAUUAAAUGAAUUUUAGUAAGUUUUGGUCUCAGGCUGACAAGUAAGUUUCAGUGGAAGAUUGCUGCCACUUCUCCGCCCUUACUUAGAUAGAUAGAUAGAUACUUUAUUAAUCUCCAAAGAGAAAUUCACAAUACCAGCAGCAUGAAAGGCCAGCCCGAUCUCACGAGGAUUCGUGAAACUGUCACGUAAAUUUUUGUUUCGGCUUCGUGCGCACCAACACGAUUUCGUCAUGUUUUUCGUGCCGCUCACCACGGAAUGCACACCAAUGUAUUUUAAACGGCGGACUUUUCGUGCCACUCAGAACGUAUUUCAAAAGAAUGUGUAUAUUAUAUUUUUAAUGUAAAACCGCGGCGAAUCCAACGCUAUAUUUUGCAUGACAUCGUCCCUAAACAUAACCCUAACCAUAACCAUAAC
This is a long non-coding RNA of Acanthochromis polyacanthus (spiny chromis), 4079 nucleotides long. RefSeq lists it as uncharacterized. The transcript has 3 exons. The record is from RefSeq and is a predicted model, not a curated record. NCBI's taxonomy places the organism in Eukaryota, Metazoa, Chordata, Actinopteri, Pomacentridae.